GUUAUCACGGGAGACACACGGCGGGUGCUAACGUCCGUCGUGAAGAGGGAAACAACCCAGACCGCCAGCUAAGGUCCCAAAGUCAUGGUUAAGUGGGAAACGAUGUGGGAAGGCCCAGACAGCCAGGAUGUUGGCUUAGAAGCAGCCAUCAUUUAAAGAAAGCGUAAUAGCUCACUGGUCGAGUCGGCCUGCGCGGAAGAUGUAACGGGGCUAAACCAUGCACCGAAGCUGCGGCAGCGAACGUAUCACCCAAGACAACUUUACGGAGUUGACGAUUGACGGAGCGAAGCGACGUCAAAGCGUUCAUUAAAGUCGAGUUGGCUUAGGGAUACGUUCGUUGGGUAGGGGAGCGUUCUGUAAGCCUGUGAAGGUGGCCUGUGAGGGUUGCUGGAGGUAUCAGAAGUGCGAAUGCUGACAUAAGUAACGAUAAAGCGGGUGAAAAGCCCGCUCGCCGGAAGACCAAGGGUUCCUGUCCAACGUUAAUCGGGGCAGGGUGAGUCGACCCCUAAGGCGAGGCCGAAAGGCGUAGUCGAUGGGAAACGGGUUAAUAUUCCCGUACUUGGUGUUACUGCGAA
This 575-nucleotide ribosomal RNA is filed under the name Salmonella enterica subsp. enterica serovar Oranienburg. RNAcentral describes it as "bacterial LSU rRNA". It matches the Rfam family "Bacterial large subunit ribosomal RNA", at positions 971 to 1460 of the family's 2925-position model. The record is from RNAcentral. Lineage: Bacteria; Pseudomonadati; Pseudomonadota; Gammaproteobacteria; Enterobacterales; Enterobacteriaceae. RNAcentral also lists the same sequence under 1 other name.